GCAAGCCAGAGUGUGCCAGAGGAGUGCUGGAGCUCCCAGCUUCCCUUUCUAGAUGAAAUUGCUGAUGCUGUAGGGAUCUUUUCAGCAAAGACCUUGGCAAAAUAAAUAGAGGGUUAAAGGAGGACGCUAGUGGUUAUUUGGAAAUGCAUAGGAUUUAACCAUGUCAGAGAUUCAAAUCUCUGUAAAAUUCUAGAACACUGAACCUAGACUUCAUGAACUGAAGGGAUGGCUGCUGUUAGACACAAAUAGGUUUGAAUCCACCAGCAUGGAGCAAAAUGAAGAACACUGAACUAGAGAAUCACCGGAUUUAGCUUCAAAUCUUAACUCUACUAUGACUUUAGAAAAUUCUCUUAAUUUCUCUGGGUUUGUUUCCAUCCUUUGAACUAAGGAGAUUGGCCUAGGUUAUAAGUCUAAUAUCUCUUUGAGUUUUAAAUUUAUUGUUUCACCUGCAUAUGCAGGUAUCCAGUUUGUCUCUCUGUCUCUCCAAAAAAGAUGUUAUACAAAUAUAUAUUUCAUCUGGAUAUCCACUAGCUAUCUCUUAUUCAAUAUAGGUACAGUAAAAAUUUUUUUCUUCCCUCUGUCCCAAAAAUAUACAUCCUACAGCUUCCUGUGACUGUUGAAGAAACUACCAUCUUCCUAGUCGCCCCGCUUCACAAUCUCAACUUGACAUUAAAAGCUCUGUGGAACUGGGCUCCCCCCUUCCUUUGCAGAUUUUUUUUUCUACUCACCUUCACACAUGUUCUGGAC
RNAcentral lists this long non-coding RNA (747 nucleotides) under Sarcophilus harrisii (Tasmanian devil). Its description in RNAcentral is "lncRNA (ENSSHAG00000024799.1)". Lineage: Eukaryota; Metazoa; Chordata; Mammalia; Dasyuromorphia; Dasyuridae. The record is from RNAcentral.